GUGGGGAAUAUUGGACAAUGGGCGCAAGCCUGAUCCAGCCAUGCCGCGUGAAGGAUGAAGGCCCUCUGGGUUGUAAACUUCUUUUAUCUGGGACGAAAAAAGGGUAUUCUUACUUACUUGACGGUACCAGAGGAAUAAGCACCGGCUAACUCCGUGCCAGCAGCCGCGGUAAUACGGAGGGUGCAAGCGUUAUCCGGAUUCACUGGGUUUAAAGGGUGCGUAGGUGGGUAUUUAAGUCAGUGGUGAAAUCUCCGAGCUUAACUCGGAAACUGCCAUUGAUACUAUUUACCUUGAAUGCCCUGGAGGUAAGCGGAAUAUGUCAUGUAGCGGUGAAAUGCUUAGAUAUGACAUAGAACACCAAUUGCGAAGGCAGCUUACUACGGGGUGAUUGACACUGAGGCACGAAAGCGUGGGGAGCAAACAGGAUUAGAAACCCCGGUAGUCC
This 445-nucleotide ribosomal RNA is filed under the name uncultured bacterium. RNAcentral describes it as "bacterial SSU rRNA". It matches the Rfam family "Bacterial small subunit ribosomal RNA", at positions 354 to 796 of the family's 1533-position model. The record is from RNAcentral.